Molecule: ribosomal RNA, 446 nt
Filed under: uncultured bacterium
Lineage: Bacteria
Description: partial 16S ribosomal RNA
Rfam family: Bacterial small subunit ribosomal RNA
Source: RNAcentral
CCUACGGGAGGCAGCAGUCGAGAAUCUUUCACAAUGGGGGAAACCCUGAUGGUGCGACGCCGCGUGGGGGAAUGAAGGUCUUCGGAUUGUAAACCCCUGUCAUGUGGGAGCAAAUUAAAAAGAUAGUACCACAAGAGGAAGAGACGGCUAACUCUGUGCCAGCAGCCGCGGUAAUACAGAGGUCUCAAGCGUUGUUCGGAAUCACUGGGCGUAAAGCGUGCGUAGGCUGUUUCGUGAGUCGUGUGGGAAAGUGGCGGGGUCAAACCGGGGACGGAACAUGAUACUGCGGGAUUAGAGUAAUGGAGGGGGAACCGGAAUUCGCGGUGUAGCAGUGAAAUGCGUAGAUAUCGAGAGGAACACUCGUGGCGAAGGCAGGUUCCUGGACAUUAACUGACGCUGAGGCACGAAGGCCAGGGGAGCGAAAGGGAUUAGAUACCCCAGUAGUC